UUUGGUGGCUCCUACAACUAGGUGGUUAGGUGGAAUGUUAACAUAGAAUCUUCCCAACUAGGUAAAGAAUGUAGAAUUCAGAAAUGACAAUGUCAAAUGGACUCCAUCCUGUAUUAUGAACAUAUUGAAUUUGAGGUUUUACUGGUGGUAAUGCCAUUCUUCUCUCUGCCUAUCCUCCAGUAUCUAAGGUUUUUACUUAAGAAAGAAUAAUAUUAAAACAUUCAAAACCCUCAAGUCUGGCCAUGGGAACACAGGAAGAUAGGUAGUACAGAAUUAAUAUCAAAUGGGACUAGAGAACCGAAUUCUAUAGUCCAUGUUGCCCUUUGUGUUGCUGAUGUCUGGUAAUUUUUAGAUGAAAUAAGCAUUUAGGAGUUUAUCAUUUGAAGUCAGUACACAGUAUUUACACCAUUAUGCUCAGUCUAUAGCUAGGCACAAUUUGUUGCCAAAUCAUUGUAGAAAAUGGAAUUGGAAAUCAAUAUAUUUGAGUACACUUUCAGGAAUAUUUAUGAAAUGCCCUGUCAAUGAAAGUACAAUAAGAAAGUAAAAUAUAAUAUUCAUUUAAUUACAGGACUGUAGGGAAAAUACUGGCCUUUGUGAUACAUAGAUAACCAAGAAAAUUGAACUCUAUGUCACUGGAAUGAACCUGGGAAUAAAAAUAUUAUCUAGAAGAACCUCCUACACUAGAUGUUCCUUAAACUUUUCUACCCAUGCCAAGGCCCUUAUUAACUUUUUCCAUCCCAAGCAUGUAACUGCUUAAAAAAUCAAAGAGAAAUCUCUAGCUUAAGAGAGAUGGAGUAUGUAAAGGUUUCCACUGUAUCACAGGAGACAUACAUGGAAUGGGCACCCUCGAAUCUGGUCUAUGUAAGGAAAGCUGUUUAGCAGGUAUACCAUUGAACUUCUCAAUGACAUAAUCAUUAGGCCCUCCCUGAAACAUCUCUUGUAACCUGGAAAGCCCUAGCUUCUGUGAUGUCACAAUAUUGUUGUGACUGAAACUCCCUAUCAGAUAUCACUUCAGUACCUCUAGUGUUUACUAAUUGAAUUCUAAUUCAGAGUAAACAGCCAUUUUGGAGUGAAAGCAAAGAGGAUGAAGAGAUCAGAGAUGGGGAGAAGGAUGCUGGCCUUCUUUCUUGAUAUAAAAAAAGGAAGAAAUACAUGGUCCUUGGGAAAGCUCACAAAACUCUCAAAUAUCAUCCUGGGUGACGAUGUAGAUUAGACCCAUCAGAUGAAAUGAAGAAUUGAAAAACUCUCCUGGGGAUGAAAAUGGACCAAUUGCUUCCCUUCCCAGAUAUGGCAGUUGAGGCAGUUGUCUUCCCCAUAUGCUCUGGUAUCUAUGUAGCAGAAGUCUUGGACUGGCCAAAGCAUAUACUAGAAGGUGGAAAAUUUCCUGAACCUCUGAAGGGUAAGCUUAAUUGAUACUGUUGUUCUUCAUAUUGGGUUCCAAAUCCCUCCAGAUCCUUAAGUCAUUCCCCUAUCUCUUCCUUUGUGGCUGUCAGGUGCUGUCAAAUGCUUAGGUGUUUCUGCAUCUGUCACGGUCAGGUGAUGGCAGAGCCCCACGGAGGACAGACGUAUUAGGCUCUUAUCUGCGAGCACAUCUUGACCUCAGGAACAGUCUGAGGAUUUGGAGUCUCUGGAUGAAAUUGUUCUUCUGGUCGGGUGGUCUCUGGAUUGCCUUUCCUUCAGUCUCUGCUCCAUUUUUGUAUUUACAUUUUUUAGAUUGGAGAUUUAUAGGUAAAAAAAAAAAUGUGAGCUGUGUGGGCAGCACCACCCCUUCACUGGAGGGCAUGUCUAGCUACAGGAGGAAGUCUCUAGUUGUUCUAUCUAUUUUCCUGCUCGGUAUUUAAACUACCACCAUCACAGUAAGUUUCUGGGAUACACUUGCAUCCCUGGCAUCUGGGAUUUUCCUGGGGAUACCCAUGUUCACCACCCACCACUGACGCUUAUUGUUAUUUACUCCACGUUUCCUCUGAAUUUCUCUCCUGUCUCUUUUAAUUGGUGCAACUCCCACCACUUUAUCCAUCAUUUUCCACAUCUAGCUAGAUUCUUCCACUCCACUGCAUUCCAUGAUUAUUUUGUUCUCCCUUCUAAGUGGGUUCCAAGUAUCCGCCAUUUGGCCUUCUCACAUGUUACCCUUCAUGUUAUAAAAGAUUUAUAUAGUGGGUAUUCUGUUAGCAGGGCUAACAUCUACUAGUCACUAAGUCCAUCCCAUGUUGUGUCCUUUUCGAUUUCUGUUACUUCACUAUUUUCAUGUUCCAUCAUUUGUCUACAGAGUUCUUGGUGUCCUCAUAUUUAAUACCUAAGUAAUGUUCCAUUGUUUACAUAUAGCACACUUUCUGUAUUUAUUCCUGAGUGGAGAUGAGGUAUAUCAUGGUUCUUUCCAGCAUUCGACUGUUAUAAGUAAGACUGCUGUGAAUAUCUUCAACCACAUGUCCACGUUAUGUGUGGAUCAAGUUUGAGUAUAUGUGUUGAAGUGAGUGGUAAAGCUGGGUUUUCAAGUAAAGCUAUUUGCAAUUUUCUCUGGACCUCCACACUGAUGAUAUCCAAAGUGGCUAUCAGCUACUAA
Molecule: non-coding RNA, 2560 nt
Organism: Rattus norvegicus (Norway rat)
Lineage: Eukaryota; Metazoa; Chordata; Mammalia; Rodentia; Muridae
Source: RefSeq, a predicted model, not a curated record